AUCACCUGUUGGGUCUACAGAAGUAUCACCCACUCCAAUAGCGCAGCCACCACCUAAGCCAGGAUGUGAAGAAUGGGUCUAUGUGAGUGAACCGAUACCAGAGGAAGUACGUGCAUUUUUAAUACCUUACUGGCAAUUAAUAGAGAAUUCAUACAUAAACACCAUCAAAACAGCCCUCAGGAAUCUGAGAGAAGAUCAGCACACCCUCCUCGCUUACCUAUAUGAAACUAGGUGAGUAAAGUCUUCUAAGUCAGAAUGUUAUAACUAGAUAUGACACACAGGAGCCAUCUAUCUCAUUCUCAUGUCUUGUAGAACAAGUUUCAAGCAGCUUCUAAAACAACCAGAUUACAA
Molecule: long non-coding RNA, 351 nt
Filed under: Cavia porcellus (domestic guinea pig)
Lineage: Eukaryota; Metazoa; Chordata; Mammalia; Rodentia; Caviidae
Description: lncRNA (ENSCPOG00000033398.1)
Source: RNAcentral